UAGAGUUUGAUCCUGGCUCAAAGUGAACGCUGGCGGCGUGCUUAACACAUGCAAGUCGAGCGAAUUUCAACAGGGUAUCGAAGAAAUUAGCGGCAGACGGGUGAGUAAUACUUAGGCAAUCUACCCUCGAAUGGGAAACAACCUGGCGAAAGCCGGGCUAAUGUCCCGUAAGACCACGGAAUCGCAUGAUUUUGAGGUCAUAGCUCCGCAAGGGGCGUUUGUGGAGGAGCCUAAGGCCUAUCAUGGUAGUUGGUGAGGUAACGGCUCACCAAGCCUACGACGGGUAGCCGGCCUGAAAGGGUGAUCGGCCACACUGGCACUGAGACACGGGCCAGACUCCUUCGGGAGGCAGCAGUGGGGAAUUUUGGACAAUGGGGGCAACCCUGAUCCAGCAACGCCGCGUGGAGGACGAAGGUCUUCGGAUUGUAAACUCCUUUUGGAGGGGAUGAAUGCCUACGUGAAGAGCGUAGGGUGACAGUACUCUCUGAAUAAGCCACGGCUAACUUCGUGCCAGCAGCCGCGGUAAUACGAAGGUGGCAAGCGUUACUCGGAAUUACUAGGCGUAAAGCGCAGGUAGGCGGUUCGGUAAGUCUUUUGUGAAAGCUCCCGGCUCAACUGGGAGAGGCCAAGGGAUACUGCCGGACUUGAGUGUGGUAGAGGAAACUGGAAUUCCCGGUGUAGCGGUGAAAUGCGUAGAUAUCGGGAGGAAUACCUAAGGCGAAAGCAGGUUUCUGGGCCAUCACUGACGCUGAGCUGCGAAAGCUAGGGGAGCAAACAGGAUUAGAUACCCUGGUAGUCCU
RNAcentral lists this ribosomal RNA (800 nucleotides) under uncultured soil bacterium. RNAcentral's name for it is "bacterial SSU rRNA". It matches the Rfam family "Bacterial small subunit ribosomal RNA", at positions 1 to 797 of the family's 1533-position model. The record is from RNAcentral.